RNAcentral lists this transfer RNA (75 nucleotides) under Anaerolinea thermophila UNI-1. Its description in RNAcentral is "tRNA-Cys (GCA) (tRNA-Cys-GCA-2-1)". The stretch from base 18 to 75 matches the Rfam family "tRNA". From Rfam's summary of the family: Transfer RNA (tRNA) molecules are approximately 80 nucleotides in length. Their secondary structure includes four short double-helical elements and three loops (D, anti-codon, and T loops). Further hydrogen bonds mediate the characteristic L-shaped molecular structure. tRNAs have two regions of fundamental functional importance: the anti-codon, which is responsible for specific mRNA codon recognition, and the 3' end, to which the tRNAs corresponding amino acid is attached (by aminoacyl-tRNA synthetases). tRNAs cope with the degeneracy of the genetic code in two manners: having more than one tRNA (with a specific anti-codon) for a particular amino acid; and 'wobble' base-pairing, i.e. permitting non-standard base-pairing at the 3rd anti-codon position. The record is from RNAcentral. Lineage: Bacteria; Bacillati; Chloroflexota; Anaerolineae; Anaerolineales; Anaerolineaceae.
GGCGGCACCCCAUCGAGGGACACGAGGCAAGGGUCUGCAAAACCCUGAUCAUGGGUUCAAAUCCCAUCGUCGCCU